This 466-nucleotide ribosomal RNA is filed under the name uncultured bacterium. RNAcentral's name for it is "partial 16S ribosomal RNA". It matches the Rfam family "Bacterial small subunit ribosomal RNA", at positions 28 to 507 of the family's 1533-position model. The record is from RNAcentral.
GAUGAACGCUGGCGGCGUGCUUAACACAUGCAAGUCGAACGAUGAAGCCCAGCUUGCUGGGUGGAUUAGUGGCGAACGGGUGAGUAACACGUGAGUAACCUGCCCUUAACUCUGGGAUAAGCCUGGGAAACUGGGUCUAAUACCGGAUAGGAGCGUCCACCGCAUGGUGGGUGUUGGAAAGAUUUAUCGGUUUUGGAUGGACUCGCGGCCUAUCAGCUUGUUGGUAAGGUAAUGGCUCACCAAGGCGACGACGGGUAGCCGGCCUGAGAGGGUGACCGGCCACACUGGGACUGAGACACGGCCCAGACUCCUACGGGAGGCAGCAGUGGGGAAUAUUGCACAAUGGGCGAAAGCCUGAUGCAGCGACGCCGCGUGAGGGAUGACGGCCUUCGGGUUGUAAACCUCUUUCAGUAGGGAAGAAGCGAAAGUGACGGUACCUGCAGAAGAAGCACCGGCUAACUACGUG